Molecule: long non-coding RNA, 1340 nt
Organism: Syzygium oleosum
Lineage: Eukaryota; Viridiplantae; Streptophyta; Magnoliopsida; Myrtales; Myrtaceae
Exons: 2
Source: RefSeq, a predicted model, not a curated record
UCAUUCGGCUGCUCCUCCAUUGCGCUCUCUCUCCCACUCCCCACACCCACGACUCGACGAGACCCUCUUGCCUCUCCUCACUCCGUUCGGCGUCCACCUCGGCUCUUCCUCUGUCUUCAUCAACCGCGGUCCGGCUCGUCCGCAGCGGAGGUGGGCUUCGCUUCAAGGCUUCAAGCGACAUCCUCGGUCUUCGUCUUCGUUCGGGCUCCGCACGCGCACCCUCUUGAGCUCGCUGCCUCGGCUCUUCCUCCUCUCGUCUUUCCACAAGAUCGGCGCCGCUUCUCGCCAGACGUGGUUCCUCUCUAGUCCUCGCACUGUAGAAGAGAUCUUCAAGGGCUACAGCGCCCGACGCACUGCCCUCAUCCGCGCCCUCACCUAUGGUACCGAUCGUUGGGCCGUCGCCCCCCUCUUUGGAUCUUCACAUGCAUGUGUUUUUUCUCUUUUUUUCCUGGGUCCGAGUUCCAGUGUGUGCGCCGGCGGUGUUUCUUUUUAGUUCUUUGUUUCUGGCUUGACGUCGUUGUUGGUGUUGGGGUGAAUUUGUUUCAGAUGUGGAUGAAUUCUACUCGCUCUGCGAUCCAGGUGAGGCUCCAUGUACUUUGGGUUUCUUGUUCGUUGUUGUUUUUCCUUCGAAUUAAAGGGCAAAUGCAAGAUUGCGCCUUUUAGAGAAAAAGGUUUUGACUUUAGCUUGUGCUGCAAUUUUGGAGAAGCGGGAUGAGGUAUGUGGGAAAUGGGUAACUGCUGUUAGGUGAUUUUUCUAUGAAACUAUGGUCAAUUUGAUUGGGGAAGUGGCUGUGGUGGGUUGAUAAGAAAGGGGCUAAGUGUGCUUUAGGUUAUUGUUGGUUCUUUUUAUUCAUGAUCUGAAAGGAAAUUCUUUAUUUUUUGCUUUGAUAUCUUAAUGGGUAUUUCAGUUGUGAUUACGGACUCCAAAUGUUAAAGCUCCUUUUCUAGAGAUGGAAUGAAACGCAAGGACUGGCUGUCUUUGGUGGCUGUGCAUAAUGACUGUUGGUUGCUCUCUGUGGCCUUCUACUUUGGUGCUCGACUUAACCGCAAUGAGAGUUGACUGGUGGAAGAAUUGGGGACCGGCUUAUGGCUGAAGCAGAAACAAAUCUUGCAAUAAAUGUGCUUCUGGGGUUAUCAGAGUCGUUUGAAGUUCAAGGAACAGGAGAACUCCAAUUAGGUUUGUUCCCAAUUAUUUUUUAAUGAUUUCUUUUCAACCUUCUAGCUUUGGAAUAUUAUUUUCAGAUAGUGUUCAGAAAUGUUUGGACAUAUGCAACUGUGGAUUAUGAUUCUUGGGCAAAACUAAUUUGAAAGAUCCAGUUAAUCUUUCUUUUUUCUGUUUA